UACAGAGGGGGCAAGCGUUGUUCGGAAUUACUGGGCGUAAAGUGCGCGUAGGCGGCCCUCUAAGUCAGACGUGAAAUCCCUCGGCUCAACCGGGGAACUGCGUCUGAGACUGGAAGGCUUGAAUUCGGGAGAGGGAUGUGGAAUUCCAGGUGUAGCGGUGAAAUGCGUAGAUAUCUGGAGGAACACCGGUGGCGAAGGCGGCAUCCUGGACCGAGAUUGACGCUGAUGCGCGAAAGCCAGGGGAGCAAACGGG
RNAcentral lists this ribosomal RNA (253 nucleotides) under uncultured bacterium. Its description in RNAcentral is "partial 16S ribosomal RNA". It matches the Rfam family "Bacterial small subunit ribosomal RNA", at positions 524 to 776 of the family's 1533-position model. The record is from RNAcentral.